This 553-nucleotide ribosomal RNA is filed under the name uncultured crenarchaeote. Its description in RNAcentral is "bacterial SSU rRNA". It matches the Rfam family "Archaeal small subunit ribosomal RNA", at positions 325 to 879 of the family's 1478-position model. The record is from RNAcentral. Lineage: Archaea; Thermoproteati; Thermoproteota.
AUGGGGCGCAGCAGGCGAGAAAACUUUGCAAUGUGCGAAAGCACGACAAGGCUAAUCCGAGUGAUUCCUGCUAAAGGAAUCUUUUGUUAGUCAUAAAACCACUAACGAAUAAGGGGUGGGCAAGUUCUGGUGUCAGCCGCCGCGGUAAAACCAGCACCUCAAGUGGUCAGGAUGAUUAUUGGGCCUAAAGCAUCCGUAGCCGGCUUUGUUAGUUUUCGGUUAAAUCCAUAUGCUCAACAUAUGGGCCGCCGGGAAUACUACAAAGCUAGGGAGUGGGAGAGGUAGACGGUACUCCGUAGGAAGGGGUAAAAUCCUUUGAUCUAUGGAUGACCACCAGUGGCGAAGGCGGUCUACCAGAACACGUUCGACGGUGAGGGAUGAAAGCUGGGGGAGCAAACCGGAUUAGAUACCCGGGUAGUCCCAGCUGUAAACUAUGCAAACUCAGUGAUGCAUUGGCUUGUGGCCAGUGCAGUGCCGCAGAGAAGUCGUUAAGUUUGCCGCCUGGGAAGUACGUACGCAAGUAUGAAACUUAAAGGAAUUGGCGGGGGAGCAC